GGCAGUCGUGGCCUAAAGGUUAGCGAGUCGGACUUGUAACCCGGAGGUCGUGGGUUCGAGUCUCGGGUCUGGCA
Pangasius djambal is the source of this 74-nucleotide non-coding RNA. NCBI's taxonomy places the organism in Eukaryota, Metazoa, Chordata, Actinopteri, Siluriformes, Pangasiidae. The record is from the annotation of a GenBank genome assembly.